AGUGAACGCUGGCGGUAGGCCUAACACAUGCAAGUCGAACGGCAGCACAGUAAGAGCUUGCUCUUACGGGUGGCGAGUGGCGGACGGGUGAGGAAUACAUCGGAAUCUACUUUUUCGUGGGGGAUAACGUAGGGAAACUUACGCUAAUACCGCAUACGACCUACGGGUGAAAGCAGGGGAUCUUCGGACCUUGCGCGAUUGAAUGAGCCGAUGUCGGAUUAGCUAGUUGGCGGGGUAAAGGCCCACCAAGGCGACGAUCCGUAGCUGGUCUGAGAGGAUGAUCAGCCACACUGGAACUGAGACACGGUCCAGACUCCUACGGGAGGCAGCAGUGGGGAAUAUUGGACAAUGGGCGCAAGCCUGGUCCAGCCAUACCGCGUGGGUGAAGAAGGCCUUCGGGUUGUAAAGCCCUUUUGUUGGGAAAGAAAAGCAGCAGGUUAAUACCCCGCUGUCCUGACGGUACCCAAAGAAUAAGCACCGGCUAACUUCGUG
Molecule: ribosomal RNA, 492 nt
Filed under: uncultured bacterium
Lineage: Bacteria
Description: partial 16S ribosomal RNA
Rfam family: Bacterial small subunit ribosomal RNA
Source: RNAcentral